Molecule: long non-coding RNA, 374 nt
Filed under: Androctonus crassicauda
Lineage: Eukaryota; Metazoa; Arthropoda; Arachnida; Scorpiones; Buthidae
Source: RNAcentral
ACUUCACCAUCCGGCUCCCCUCCACAGGUGCGGGCUGCAGCCCAUGGUUGGGACUGGCCUCAUCCCUUAGUAGUUGUCCUGAUUGGAAAGGGACAUAAAAUAUGCAAAAAAAAAUGUCCAAAAUGUCACUUCUUCUUUGUGAAUUAGUUAAUAUCACCAAUACACUGCUAAACAAUCAAAAUUCCAUUGCCAGUAAUGGAAUUUUGUUACUGUUAGUAACACCUGGAGCAGACUACUAUAAAUACAUGCACCUGAUCUGUUUCAGAACAAUCUGUGUUUGUUCAAAAUGCUCAGAACAUGUAUUGAUUUUGGUGGAGUUGCACACAAUGUGUUGUGGUUACCUCACAAUGGUCACAAACCGAAAUAAUGUUGCG